Long non-coding RNA from Lepus europaeus (European hare), 347 nucleotides. RefSeq lists it as uncharacterized. Lineage: Eukaryota; Metazoa; Chordata; Mammalia; Lagomorpha; Leporidae. The transcript is spliced from 3 exons. The record is from RefSeq and is a predicted model, not a curated record.
GCUGAGGGCUCGGCGUCUGAGGAAGCAGAGAUAAGAAUAUAACUUCUGGAACCGGGCAGUCAUCUUGCAACCGUGAGGUCACAAGCAUCUGGACAUAAAAACAUUCUGAGGAAGGCAUAGUGGAAAAAAUAGAACCACGUUUCUAAAAGACAGUGUUGAGCCCCUGCACCAAGCCAGGAACAUCCAUCUGCAGACUUAACUGCUACAGCACUGUUCACAACAGCUGAGAUGUGGUAACGAAGCAAGCCUCCAUCAGCAAACGCACAGACAAUGCAAACGUGGUGCAAACGCACAGUGGAAUGGUAGUGAGCCAUAAAAAGGAAGGGGAAUCCUGCCAUUUGUGAUAA